AAUUUCCCUCCUAGGAAUUUGCCCUAUGGAAGUAACUGGAAUGCAAGCAAAGCCCCAUUAUUUAACCAACAUUACCAAAAGCAGGAAAAACUAAACAGCAGCUUAAGUUUCUUUCUACUGAAGAGUCCUUGGAUUGAUUACCAUACACUACGAAGAAUGAUAGUUUGGGGAAGUGAUGACAACAUAAUUUUAAAUUUUAAAAGUGAGAAGCAGUAGGGUAUAUAGUAUUUAUACCUAAGCAUAGACAAAAUGUUGGAUGGGGAAGUGCCAGAAUCUUAGCGGUAAGUUUUAUCUUGGUGGGAUGUUGGGUGUGACUUUUAUUUUCUCUUUUACAGGAAGAAGAGACACAGGAUCAGCCACAGAAGGUGUGUUGUGCACAGGAGUCUGUCAGGCUGUAGCUCAAGCUUAAAAUCAUGAACAGUGAAGACCAUGAAGGCAUAUGCUUAAGGAAGCCCAAGCUGAAGGGCACAGAAGCAGGCUUGAUGGGCUGCAGAAGGAGAGGAAGACAUAUUGGUUAUUCAGGAUACCAACAAGCGGGGCAAGUCCUUAGAUAGCCUUAGGUUCCUAAAGGCUUAGAAGGAGAUGAGGCUGAUAAAGAAAGCAGUGAUGCUAAAGAAUGAGGUUCUGAGAUCCCAGUUCUAAAUGCAUUUGCUCCACGACACGCAGCCAAAGGCUUUCAUCCUUCAUUUCUGCCGAUUUUGGGGAAGAAUCCAUUCCUGCAUUUACAUCCUGUUAGACUCUUUUGGAAUAGUGAUAGUUCCUCACAAAAGAAAUGUUCUGAAUUCACCGUGCCUACUAGAGAGGGGAGGACUGGAAAAAACCAUUUUUCAAGUGAUUUUUUGCAUCCUCCUUUGGAUACUUCUUGUUUAAAAAAAUAACUGUAGAAUUAAAAUAAGGGAAAGUUUAGGUUUUGCUGUUUUUAUGGGCUGAGAAUUGAGCUUCGUUGAAAAAAAUUGAGAGGGACAAUUCUGAUGUGAAUCCCAUGUUUAUUGUUUUAAAAGCUCUGUGCUAAUACCAAAAGAAUGUAUUUCUGGUGGGAAGUGAAAUAUUUCCAUGGCUUCAGGGAGCUUGACUUCUGUCCUAAAAAUAGAUUUCCUUAGCUAUUAUAAACAAAACACCUUUAGCAAUAAAAAUAAAAUAUGGAUGGAGUUUCCACUGUGGUGCAGUGAGUUAAGGCUCUGGAGUCGCUGCAGCUGCAGUAUAGGGGCAGCUGCGGCUUAGAUUCAGCCUCUGGCCCAGGAAUUUCCAUAUGCCACCAGUGUGAAAAAAAAAAAACACCAAGAACCAAAAAAAAAAAAAAAUACAUAGCAAACACAGCAAUGUUUUAUACCCUUAUCAUUUAAAGACUUUAGGUCUAUAAGGAAAAAUAAACACCAUCCCCCCAAAAAAGCAUGUCCAAAAGGUAGCUUAUAAGAGAUUUGCAUAUAAAGAAAAAAGUGAAAUAAAAAUGCAAUCUUAACUAUUAAUCAAAGACAUGAUUGUUAACACAUCAGUAACAGACGAUUUUCUCCUAGUAGGUAAAAAGAAUGUGCCGUGGAGUUUUGCCGUUGUUAUCACGUGAGCUUUAAUGUGACUGUGAAUUUUCUCAUAAUGUCCGAGCCUGGCAAAUUGCUGCAACCUUUCUGCAAGACAAAUCAAAAUUGGUCCCAGUCCUUUAUUUUUCUUUUUUUUUUAAAUUUCUCAAAUGAAUUUAUCACAUCUGUAGUUGUAUAAUGAUUAUAACAAUCCAAUUUCACAGGAUUUCCAUCCCACAACCCAAGCACAUCCCCCCCAUCCCUGGUCCCAGUCCUUUAAAUUAGUCGUAUGAUCCUUCUGAUAUGUUAUUUGUAAAAGCAUAAAUAUAUGUGUAUACCCAUGUGUGCAGUUGCUCUUAGUAGCAUUUUUGUAAAAAGAAAAUAAUCAAAAUAACUGAAAAGACCAACAACGGAAAAAUAUUCACAUUAACGGUAGUCAAUCCAUUGGAUGGCAUUUUAUGAAAAACCAGAUUUUUCAAAGACUAAUGACAUGGGAGUUUGUUCAAAGUAAUACGUUAAAAAAAAAAAAGCUAAAUGUACAUGUCUGUGCAAUAUGUUUAUAAAUCUGUAUGCAUAACAAAUAUUAUAAAUCUGUAUGCAUAACAAAUAUUGGAGACGAUACAUCCAGAUAGUUAUAAAAGUUAUCUCUGCAUGAUGGGAUUAUCUUUCCUUCUCUUCCAGUUUUCUUUUAUUUCUUAAUUUCCAACUUCCUACCAGGAAUCUGUAUUACUGUAUGAUUCAGUUAAAACCUGUUGUUUAAAUGCAAAGUGGCAUUUCUGGGAGUAUAGAAAAUUCUCCUCAGUGAUGCAUUACCACCUGCAGACAUUGAGGAGGCAGAACGAUAUUAUCUGUUUAGCAGGAUCCCUGAAUCUCUCAAUACUUAGAUCCUUGAUUUUAAGGAGAUCUGGAGGGGUGAAGCAUUUUGUCCAAGGUCAUGUGGCAAGUGCGUUGUGUAGCGUCAAAGAUAAACAAAGCUGGGGUCAAUGUUAAGUUGUACGGACAGGUGUUAAUCAGUAAUAUAUUAUUGUGAUGGGGAAAGAGUCCAGUGUGAACUGGACCUUCUUUUGAGCAGAGGUUGCUGGGCACCUUAAAGGCAGAAAGAGGGGCGAGGGAGUGGGAUGAGAGGGGUUUGACGGGGCAGGACAGUAAAAAUGGACAGAAAGCGGGAAGGUGCAUGUCGUUCCCUAUGAAACCCAUCUGGGUCUGCAAACCAGGGCUCAGAGGAAUUAGGCUCUCCCCUCCCACACAGGCUGGGGGUCAGGGGUCCUAUCUUCAUGUGGCGGCUGGAGCACACAGUCAAUUCUUCUAGCAGUCUUGAGUUUUGCCAGGGAGACACUUUCCAGGGAGCAACAGGCAUCCUAUGGCUGCAGGUUUGAGCCACUAGAAACUGUGUUGGUGUUUGUCCAAGUCUGUAUAGGCCAAGGUUGAAAUCCAGAGGUUGAGUCCAGCAGGGAACUUGGAGGAGCCUGGCUGGAGUUCCCUCAAGGAGAGAGUCUGUCAGGAGCAGGACUCAGCCUAGAAUUGGUUCUCCUGACCCCUAUUCCAAUUCUCCUUUCACUACCACUAUUUUUGCAUAUCAAGAACUUUCUGACCCAAAUGGGAACUUCAGCUGGAACUAAGGGACCAGAAGAAUUAUUGAAUAAGAAGAGUAAAGAAAUUCCCAGUGUGGCACAUUGGGUUAAGGAUCUGGCAUUGCCACAGUUGUGGUGUAGGUUAUAGCUGCGGCUCAGAUUCGACCCCUGGCCAAGGAAACUUCCAUACACCUUGGGUGCCACUGAUAAAGAAGAAAAAUUAAAAAGAAGGAAAAUGUUUGCCUAGGGUAAUAGUGUCUCUCCACUCCCGCUGCAUUGGAUCUUGGUUAAAAUGCUCAAAACUUAUCUUCCUCUGGGUUGGAGCAUCCCCACUUCUUCUGUGGGGUUAAUGCUCGAGUCUAAGUAUUUAGUGGGUUGGAUAUAUAAUGUCCAGGAGUCUCACCACAUACUUUUUCAAUGAGUUAUCAGUUUAAGUGCAUGCACACCCGAUAUAAAAUCCCGAGUGCUUCACACUCACAUAGCUGACCAGUGAGGUGUGUUCCUGGGUAUUGAUUCCUUCAGCUCACAGUGAGCAACUGGAUUACUUGUUAAUCCUCAGGUGGUCAAGACCUUGAAAACAAGUGGCAAUUGUAGCUGUGUUUUCAAAAUCUGAUGUUUAGAGAACAUUCUAGGAUCUCUAUAAAACUAGUAAAAUCUAGAAGAAAGCCAGCAUUGGCUUUGUGAAAACAGAAUCCAUCCAAUCUAGUUACUUAAUGUUUAGCCAUUGCUGGCAGCUUUCUUCCUUGUUUCAUCCUCUUUUUCCAUUUUUUUCUUGUCCUCUUCCUAUUUUUUCCUGUCCUUCCAUCCAUCCAUCCAUCCUUCCUUCCUUCUUUCCCCCUCCUUUCCUCUCCUUCCCUCUUUCCCACCUUUUUCCUGCAACCUUCCAACUCAUUUAGUAGACAUUUUUGGCUCCCAUUCAUUGCUAGAUCCACUGAAAGCUAGACUGGCAUGCUGCCAGAAUCAUGAGAUUUGAGUCAGAUGAGCCAAGGAUCAGUUUUUGGUUUGGUAUCAACUAGCUGCUUGAUUGUGACCAAGUUAUUUCGUCUCUGUGUACUCACUCAUUUCACAAGCAGACAUUUUAUUGCAAGCAUUGUAGGAGACUUUAAGUACUCUAGGUGUGCCACUCUGGUUUUUAAAAAUACUCUGUGUGAUGAUGCAAAUGCUGCUCACCCUUGGAAGGUUGUGAUGGGCCAACUAAACAACCUACGGGACAGCAGGUAACCCCGUACCCGGCACAUGGUCCAGGGCUAAGAAAUGCUAGCUGCCUGUUCUUUUCUUUCAGCUUCCUCGAUGCCAAGUAUGCAUGGGUGAGACUCAGUUUUUGAAAGGAUCUCACAGGCUACCCGGAAAAAGCAGAUUUCCUAGAGAAAAAUUUAUGCCAUAUUUCAUUCACUCUAAGUCGCACCUUUGUCAUAUUUUACCAUCUAUGAAGUCAGAAUGCAUGUUAAAAUCGCCGUUAGCCCGAGGGUGGCAGUUGUGCUGUAGUCUUUUUUGUGGUCACACGUGGGAUCAGAGCUGUACCUAUUUUUCACCACUUCAGUUCGUUAGGUAUGUUAUUAGCAUUCCACACGUUGACUUUAACUGCCUUCAAAAUAUCUUCAAGGAGAUUAUGCUAUGAUUCAGCAUUAAAACAAAAAGACAUCUGAGGGCACAGCAAGGCACAGAAACAGAGAAGUGGGACGUUAUUUGGAUAUUAGUGAAGCAAAGGGUCUUCCCUGGAGAAUUAACCAUGAGCAUCAAAGCUGACAAAAUGAUGUCACAGCUUGGAAGGAAAUGUCACAGACAAGGGUGAUGGCCCCUUCUUAGAAAAGUGUUAGGUCGUCUUGAGUUUCUCAGAUGGAUAACCAGCCAUCUAUGGUGCUGGGUUCAAAUGAGAUUAAAAACUAGGCUUUAGGAACAAAAGCACACAAACAAGCAAACAAAGAGCAACCCCAAUAAAAAAUCCAGAUUCAAAUUCCUCAUCCCAGGUGAAAGAGUUCCUUCUGGUGGAAUUCAGUUUCCUCUGUUAAAAGAGAAGAAUCAACAUAUACCCACCAGGGUUGUUAUAAAAAUAAAUUCAAUAAAGGCCAGGAAAUGAAGUGGGUUUAGCUGCAAAGUAUUAAUCAAGCACAGACAUUUUCCAGGGCUGAUUGUUUGGAUGUCUGUGUUUUAUUUUCCUUUUUCUUGAAACUGUGAGCUCCCUGAGGACAGACGCUUAGCCUUCGGCUCCCUACCACCAAGCUGGGAUGGAUGGACAAGCCCUGAGCUCAGUCAGUUAGAAGGCUGAACCUGUGCCUGACACUGUUUCCAUUGUUAUCACUGCUGUGGUUUUGGUUGUUUUGUUUUGAUUUUGGCAUUUUUUUAAGUGCAGGUGAGUUACAACAUUGUGCCAAUUUCUGCUUACAGGAAAGGGACCCAGGCAUACACCCACACACCCACACACAUAUACAUACACAUUUCUUUUCUUCUGUCAUCUUCCAUCAUGGUCUAUACCAAGAGACUGGAUGUCGUUCCCCGGACUAUGCAUUAGGACCUCAUUGCUUCUCCAUUCUAAAUGUAACAGUUUGCAUCUACUAACCGCAAACUCCCCGUCCAUCCCACUCCGUUCCCCCUCCCCCUUGGCAACCCUAAGUCUGCUCUCUAAGUCUGUGGUCACUGCUGUUUUCCAAGCCUAUUUUGAUACUCGCCGCAUUCCUGAAGGUGUACGUUAAGCAAAUAUUGAAACUGACACUUCAGACAUAAGGGAGCCAACAGAGAAGCCUAGUUAUUUGAUGGGAUGUUAGAAUCGAAUGCGUCCAUAGCCCUGCCACUCCCUGCAGGUCAGGACUGGCUCAGUCAUGCAGGUGGGACUGGGCAGACACUGAAGCCCGUUAGUCCCUGCAGGUCUAAGCAGUAGGAGCCUGUUGGGGGAGGGGUGGAGAUGGGGCAUCAGGGAAGGAGGGUGGAGCUUGGGUUCAGGCUCUGUGGGGAGGCCGGACUCCUGCUGUGCACGUGAAAUGAUUAGCUGGGACAGUCUUCCAAAGGAGGCCCACGGUACCAUGUGGCACAAAGGAGCCUGUCCAUCAGUGAGGUUGAAGGGAUGGGACAGAAGAUGCAGGAAAGGAAGCAGGAAAUGCCUGGAGGGGAAGAAAUGAGAAAACCAGGGGCAGCUAGGAAGGGCCUGGUGACAGGGUAGGGAAGUAACUGGAGAAAGAGCACUGCUGCUUCCCGAGGCCAGGAAGAGUGCAUGAUGGGAUGAAAAAGAUGGUUGGUAAAUCCCUCUUGGAAGCUGUGGAACAAGGGACAUCUUUGAAUGUACCCAUUGUCUACAGAGGUAGAAAGAGUAAAACAGGGGACCAAAUGCUUAGCAUCCAGACAAAUACAUCUUUUACAUUUUUACUUUAACUAAAAAAAAUAAAUAAAAUGUAAAUAAACUUGGAAAAAUAUGCAAAUCCUAGCAGCUCAGCGAAUUUUCACGAGGUGGAUACAGCCACGUUCUAAACACCCAGAUGGGAAACAAACAUUCGUAGCAGCCAGGGGUCCCCUUGUGCAGCCUCAGUCAUGAUCACCCUCUAAGGAUGACCACUGCCUGACCUCUCGCAUCACACACUCAAAUUUCUCACCUAAUUUAAAAACCAAAAGCCCAAGGUGUAAAACCAGGUUUUAUGUGGGCAGAGGUCAUGACCCUUGGUGUUGAACCUGCAUCGCCUUGAGCGGAAGGCAGACCUGACAUUGCAUGACAGAUGCGCUAUUUACUAUGUGAAACUCCAGCUUCCUUGUUAGUAAAGUGGGGAUGAGAUGUUAAAGUGGUGAUGCUGCUGUCAGGCUAAGCGAGAUGCUCUCUAAGUAGAGGCUCACUCAGGGUCUGGGGCUCAAGUGUUGGUUGGGUGUGCAUUAAAAUACGAAUAAAAAUGAGAAUGAAUAGGUGACCGCUUUAAUCAGACACAGUCAUGGAGUUUUGGAGCAUGAGAGAGGAAGCCUCACUGAGGCUCUGGUGGGAGCAGGCUGAGACUGGAAGAGCGUGGAACAGAGAAGGCAAAGCACUCUGCUCUUUGACCAGGACUGCCUCUAACUUGCGCAGUCACCUCUCACCUCUCACCUUCCUUGCCCAGGCCUCAGUUUCCUCUCCCUUAUAAUUUAUGGAUGCUAUAAUAAGUUUUUCCCACGACUGAUCUCACUCAAAAACACAGUACAUCUAUAAUUAGCUAACUUGGAAAAGUAUAGAAUAAAAAUAAACAGUAAUUGCAGUGCCCAACCAGACAAACUGGAAUACAUUUGGGGGGUGUAAAAAGGUGUAGAAAGAAUUCAAAAUCAUCUCAUAUAAGGGUGAUAAUUCUGCACUGGUUAAAUCUAGCUGCUGUAGGCCCAGGCGGACCCGUGAGAACGCCCAUGCAGCAGAGAUAAAAAGAAUAUUCUGUAUGAGGCUGUGCAUCAACACUAAAUUCAGGCCAACAAUCUGAAGAAAUACAAAGAAGAGCUCAGUCUGAGGUAUAACUUUAACCCUACUUCCUAAAUAAGUGUAGUCUUUAUAUAGACAAAAAGCAUAAGUUUUCUCGGAAAUGUAUGCAUAUAUACUUCCUUAUAUAUAUAAGGAUCCUUAUAAUGUAUGGAGUGUAUAUGUGUAAGGAUUCCUCUGUCUUUCAUACUCUCUUCAUAUGUAUAUGAGAGAGUAUGCUUAUAAUACAUAUAAGAUCAAAAUAAAAGAACCCUUGGGGGACCAGGAAGAUACAUUCUCUUUUCACUCCUAUGCCCUAAAAUGGAAUCAUCUGUUGCAUUAAUUUUAACCCUACACUUUAUAAGGCCAAACUACAAAAGAGAUGGGAUGGAUGUAAAAAUUUUUAUUACCUUGACAAAGAAAAAGUACAAUAAUUGCUUCCUGGGAGAGAAAGCAUUUUUCCCUGCUAGUAAAUUCUAGGAUGGAUUUAGCCCAUAGGUCCUCCAGACCUCGCACGACAAGCCCCAUCUUCCAACUUCUAGAACAUUUCUCUGUGCUCUACACCAGCUGGUAUAUUUCACCUUGCUUUCCACCUCAAGAGAUUUCCUACAGCACAUGCUCCACAGGCCACAUCACAGAAUCUACCCACUCAGUUAUAGAUCCAUUCACGUAUCUCCUCUUUAAAAAAAAAUCCCCUGGAGUUCCUGUCAUGUUGCAGCAGCAACGAAUCCGACUAGGAACCAUGAGGUUUUGGGUUCAAUCCCUGUUCUCGCUCAGUGGGUUAAGGAUCUGGUGAGCUGAGGUAUAGGUCGCAGACGCAGCUCGGAUCUGGCGUUGCUGUGGUUGCGGUGUAGGCUGGCAGCUACAGUCCUGAUUAGACCCCUUGCCUGGGAGCCUCCAUAUGCCACAGGUGCAGCCCUCAAAAGACAAAAAAAAACACACACACAAAAAAAAACCCCAAAUGUCUAUUAGUGUUAGAUGCUGAACAUCCAAACAUGAGGCGGGGGCUGCGCUCCUGCCCUUUAAGUGUCCACAAACUCAAGGAAAAAACAGAAGCGUGGACACUCAGAGGUCACUUAGGCCAGCCUUAGAAGGGUACCCCUCCUGAAGGACGAGGACACACUAAGUGCCCUUCUCCCUCCUUCGCUUUGAGUCGUGUUUAUGGGCUUUUCAAGGUGUGGAUCUGAGCCCUGAGGGGAAACAUCAUCCAUACUUAGCCCAACAAGGAAGAGAAGAGUGUGAGCACCCAGCCUCCAGACGACCCAGCCCUGCCUGUGCUCCCACCACGUGGGAGGCAGAGGGUUGAAAAGGCAGCCAGGUGAGCUGGUGUGGGCUGCUCGGGUGGCCGGGGGUGGGGAUAUGGGGAGAGAGACUGUCCCUUAACCAAAGCCAAGGGAUUGGAGAAAAAUGGAGCAAGGCAGCGACGGCAGAGAAGAGGGUUCCCCCCCCCCAGUAUCCUGCAUUCUGCACCCCAUAGCGCCCCAGGCAAGACCAGUUCUAGAAAAGCCUUCAGGGUCACCAGGAGCAGAGUCCCAAAGCAAUGGUGAGGAAGGGUCACGAGAGGGCCAGCUGCACAGCAAAGAGCCAUGAUAUGUGGUUAUAAGUGUUUUUCAUUG
This 9094-nucleotide long non-coding RNA is filed under the name Sus scrofa (pig). RNAcentral's name for it is "lncRNA (ENSSSCG00060051607.1)". Lineage: Eukaryota; Metazoa; Chordata; Mammalia; Artiodactyla; Suidae. The record is from RNAcentral.